This 563-nucleotide long non-coding RNA is filed under the name Homo sapiens (human). RNAcentral's name for it is "non-protein coding lnc-RPRML-3:18". The record is from RNAcentral. Lineage: Eukaryota; Metazoa; Chordata; Mammalia; Primates; Hominidae.
GCAAGGAUGAUGGUGAGGCAGAGGAGGCGGCCCCGAGGGAGCGCCCGGCUGAGAGGCGGGGGGCCGAGGGGCCCGGGGAGCGGGCGUCACCGAGGGCCCUGGAAGCGGCAGGGCUGGGGGAGAGGAGACGCGUGUGUGGAGCAUGGGGACCCCAGCCCAGCUCCCACUUGCAGACCUGGGCCGCGGGCUGCCGGCCGAGUGGCCGGGGGGCCUGGCUGCCCAGGAGGCGGGCCGGGGCCGCGGCCGGGGGCGCGGAGCGGAGUUAGGGUCGCCAGGCCGAGCCGAGGUGGGACGGACCGACGCAGAGAGGAAGGGAAGCCACCUGGCCUGAAGAUCCUGUCUCUAAGAUCCCAUUCUGAGGCUUCGAGGGUCUGGCUUGAGCAGCACAGACAGGGACGUGUCUAACCGGGAUGACCAUGAGGUCUCAUCGCAGUUUGCCACUAACCAGGUAGGCAUGCUCAGACCUCUCAGAUGGAGAAUGUGUAAAAUGCCUGUCACGAGGCCUGAUAUGUACCUGUACCUGAUAUGUUGUACCUGGUAUCUGUCAUCCCAGUGGAUGUGGC